CAGUAGGAUAAGCUAAGCACACUGUUGGUUAUGUGUGCCCAAGCAUUGAGGCAGUCAAAGUAGGCAAAUCCGCUUUGAUAAUGCUGGGAUGUGAUGGGGAGCGAAAUUUAGUAGCGAAGUAGCUGAUUUCACACUGUCAAGAAAAGUCUCUAUCGAGGUUAAAGGUACCCGUACCGCAAACCGACACAGGUGGGUGAGGAGAGUAUCCUAAGGCCAGCGAGAGAACUGUUGUUAAGGAACUCGGCAAAAUGACCCCGUAACUUAGGGAUAAGGGGUGCCACCAUCAGGUGGCCGCAGAGAAUAGGCCCAAGCGACUGUUUACCAAAAACAUAGGUUUCUGCUAAGUCGCAAGACGAUGUAUAGGAGCUGACGCCUGCCCGGUGCUGGAAGGUUAAGGGGAUCUGUUAGAGCAAUCGAAGCAGUGAACUUAAGCCCCAGUAAACGGCGGCCGUAACUAUAACGGUCCUAAGGUAGCGAAAUUCCUUGUCGGGUAAGUUCCGACCCGCACGAAAGGCGUAACGAUUUGGGCACUGUCUCAACAACAGACUCGGUGAAAUUGUAAUUCCGGUGAAGAUGCCGGAUACCUGCGACAGGACGGAAAGACCCCAUGGAGCUUUACUGUAGCUUGACAUUGGGUCUUGGUACUACAUGUACAGGAUAGGUGGGAGGCUUUGAAACCAGGACGCCAGUUUUGGCGGAGCCAUCCUUGGGAUACCACCCUUGUAGUACUGGGACUCUAACCAUAGGCCAUGAAUCUGGUCUUGGGACACUGUCAGGUGGGCAGUUUGACUGGGGCGGUCGCCUCCCAAAAGGUAACGGAGGCGCUCAAAGGUUCUCUCAGUACGGUCGGAAAUCGUACGUAGAGUGUAAAGGCAAAAGAGAGCUUGAUUGCAAGACAUACAGGUCGAGCAAGGAUGAAAAUCGGACUUAGUGAUCCGGUGGUUCUGCGUGGAAGGGCCAUCGCUCAACGGAUAAAAGCUACCCUGGGGAUAA
RNAcentral lists this ribosomal RNA (993 nucleotides) under Clostridioides difficile. RNAcentral's name for it is "partial 23S ribosomal RNA". It matches the Rfam family "Bacterial large subunit ribosomal RNA", at positions 1475 to 2477 of the family's 2925-position model. The record is from RNAcentral. Lineage: Bacteria; Bacillati; Bacillota; Clostridia; Peptostreptococcales; Peptostreptococcaceae.